UACGUAGGGUGCUAGCGUUGUUCGGAAUCAUUGGGCGUAAAGCGCGUGUAGGCGGUCAGUUAAGUCAGAUGUGAAAUCCCUAGGCUCAACCAAGGAAGUGCAUUUGAAACUAGCUGACUGGGAGACAGUAGAGGAAGGUGGAAUUCCUAGUGUAGAGGUGAAAUUCGUAGAUAUUAGGAGGAAUACCGGUGGCGAAGGCGGCCUUCUGGACUGUUCUCGACGCUGAGACGCGAAAGCGUGGGUAGCAAACAGG
Molecule: ribosomal RNA, 253 nt
Filed under: uncultured bacterium
Lineage: Bacteria
Description: partial 16S ribosomal RNA
Rfam family: Bacterial small subunit ribosomal RNA
Source: RNAcentral